RNAcentral lists this transfer RNA (72 nucleotides) under Alkalibacillus haloalkaliphilus. It matches the Rfam family "tRNA". From Rfam's summary of the family: Transfer RNA (tRNA) molecules are approximately 80 nucleotides in length. Their secondary structure includes four short double-helical elements and three loops (D, anti-codon, and T loops). Further hydrogen bonds mediate the characteristic L-shaped molecular structure. tRNAs have two regions of fundamental functional importance: the anti-codon, which is responsible for specific mRNA codon recognition, and the 3' end, to which the tRNAs corresponding amino acid is attached (by aminoacyl-tRNA synthetases). tRNAs cope with the degeneracy of the genetic code in two manners: having more than one tRNA (with a specific anti-codon) for a particular amino acid; and 'wobble' base-pairing, i.e. permitting non-standard base-pairing at the 3rd anti-codon position. The record is from Rfam by way of RNAcentral. RNAcentral also lists the same sequence under 1 other name. Lineage: Bacteria; Bacillati; Bacillota; Bacilli; Caryophanales; Bacillaceae.
GACUCCGUAGCUCAGCGGGAGAGCACUUGCUUGACAGGCAAGGGGUCGGUGGUUCGAAUCCACUCGGAGUCA